GCUACUGUUACAGAGUCUCUGGAGUUGUUCAUCAGGAACUUUAGCACCUCCCACAGCCCACUGCAGAGACGCCUGGUGGGGAGGAGAGAGGAGGAGGAGGAGAGGCCCCAGAAGAGACCCUCAUCUCAGAGCUGACCACCACCUCUUUCCUUACCACUGUCAUGGAUCCUCACAGGGAUGUGGUGCUGUUCUACU
Molecule: long non-coding RNA, 195 nt
Organism: Oncorhynchus keta (chum salmon)
Lineage: Eukaryota; Metazoa; Chordata; Actinopteri; Salmoniformes; Salmonidae
Exons: 3
Source: RefSeq, a predicted model, not a curated record